Molecule: non-coding RNA, 125 nt
Filed under: pig gut metagenome
Description: Moco (molybdenum cofactor) riboswitch
Rfam family: Molybdenum/Tungsten riboswitch aptamer (Moco RNA motif)
Source: RNAcentral
UGAUUACCGAGCUUGUUUGCCUAAGUUAUAAAAUAAUAGGGUGACAAUGCCAGUGAAUGAUGUCAUUCGCUCAGGGAUCCGCGGGAAACGGUUGGUCCUUCCAUGUUUGAAAAGGUAUCUAUGCA